Molecule: non-coding RNA, 1097 nt
Organism: Ictidomys tridecemlineatus (thirteen-lined ground squirrel)
Lineage: Eukaryota; Metazoa; Chordata; Mammalia; Rodentia; Sciuridae
Source: RefSeq, a predicted model, not a curated record
AUCGCUCCCUGGUCCCCACUCCUUCCGCUGUCAGUAGCACGCCCUCGGUGACUCUACCACCUUCGGUAGACCUUGUUCGAAUUGGCCGCUCGAGCCCUGGGUUCUACUGAGGAGAAACCCAGCUUGGCAUUAAGGCCUCUGCCCUGGGUGACUCCUGCCUCCCCCCUUUCCCCCCUGCCGCCUGCUCUUCGGCUCAACAGAGCUCUUGUUCUCUCCCUGGAAACAAGACCCUUUCUCCCCAGAGACUGCCUCCGGCUUUGGAAGAAGCUUCCAGUUGCGUACUUUCCGCCUGCAUAAACCACGCUAAUCCCUCUGCUGUGACAUUUCCAAUGGUGUAUUGGUGAAGGGGCAGUCGCGCCUGUUUGGAAGCUGAUGAGAGUUAACAGUCUAGGAAAUAUAACUCACCUAUUUAUUUCACAUUCUAGUGUUAAUAUGAAGUUGCCUUGUCUCUGUCUCAGCUUCUCUGUACAAUGAAUAUCCAGCCAGAAAGUCAGCUAUUCCUUUAUUUCUGGGUUUUGCUUUUCUUCACGAAGAAGGCAAUCAAAAAGAAAACUAUUAAGGAAUUGGACCAGGAACUUCCAUUGGAUGCACACAAAUUAAUGAAGUCCUAAAUAAAAGCCAUGGAAGGAGAAAACCAAAAACCUUUUUUUGGGGAAGAGGGUGGGAUAGAUGUAUGUGGAGGAAGCGAUGUAGGGAUGAGAUGGUUGAAGGGGGAGUAUGAUUUUGUAGUUUUAAAAUAAGACUUGCCAACCUGCUAAUUAUAUAUAGUAUCAGAAAAUGCCAAAGAUGUUCACUGUUUGGAAAACACAUUUGAAGUAACUUGCAAGUACACUCUAUUUUCUUUUCUUCUUUCCUCUUUGUGGGAGGGGGUAUAUUGGGCAUGUACUUUACAAGAAUUAAAAAAAAAAUUUAAAGAAAAAAACAUUGCCCAUAAUUUCACCAACCUACAGUCAUACUAUUUGUAUGCACAUGAUGUUUCCACCUUUGUAAACUUUAUUUAGAUUCAGUUUUUCAAUUCUUUUCUACAUUAUUCUCUUAUUAUUUCAUUGAGAAAGUUUCAAUGUUUUAAAUGGUUAAUAAUAAUGGUGCAAUAAAGA